AGAGUGCUGUCCUGCAUGUGGUUGGAAACCAGAAGGGGAGGAAAAGUUGAUGCGUUGUGGGAUGUGCGAGUGCUACUUCCACAAGAAGCUGCACUGCGUAUGGGAAGCUCUACACAGUGCAGGAUCGGACACUUUCAUUUGCAAACGAUGCGAAUAUAAUGUGGAAUAAUGCCUACGUUAAGGACUUUAAAAUGUGCGGGAUGUGUUAGCCUAAGAUAGACGACAUUGGAUGUAUUACUUUCCUUUCUUUGUCUACAUGAGACACUUCUAGUCAAAACAUCAAGUCCAUCAAUGUGGACGAGCAAAUUGUUGUCUUUCAGAAGUUUUGAAUGUCAUACGGGAUAAAAUAAGGUUAACAACUCCCACCUUCGUUAUAUUUUAUUGGUCGAUGCUAAGUAUGAACAAUUAAAAUAGUCCAUGUCGGCAUUUUCAUGUUAGAUGAAACGCAAAUAUAUGAAGUGUUGUUUGCAGAUGUAUCAUUUCUGACCAUAUUGGAAAUAACGUAAUUUUCAAAAAUAAAUAUCAAACACUCGUUUUCAAAUACAAUAUUCUGUGUUUCCGCUUGAACCGAUUACUCAAUCCCAAUUGCGUAUUCGGUAUUGUUAUACGUUAUGCAUUCAUGUAUGCCUCAAAGGGUCUCCCUGUUGGGUUAAGUUUGUAAAUAUAUGUUUCUUGCCCAAACUCUGUUUAACUGGCCACUGAAUAAAAACAAUUUCGUAUGUAUUACUAUGCUUUUUGAAGCCAGUAUAAAGAGCGAUAUAAUUAUUGAAUGUUUUUACUGAACUUAAUUUUUUAUCUGACAUUACUCAUGGUCUGACAGACUAUCGCAAACACAUUCAUAUGGGUAGAUUUCACAUUUAAUUUACAAAUGUAGCAUAGCCUCCUUCCAAGUUGGUGGAUGGGGGAGUUAUAUAGGACUUACUAUGUCUAGUUAUUCUGUCUGUGUUAAACUUAACUUGAUUAGAAUGUAACAUUUAAAUAUGAUGGUAUUUCUAAUAUUUUAAAUUGAGUCGCAUUUAUAAAAUAACAAGACUGGCUUAAAACCAGAUAUAAAAGACUGAGCAUGGUAGGAGUAUGCUCUUCUGUGGUUGCAUGUGUUAUUCCACUCUAAUUUGGAGGCAUAUAUUAUAAUAAUUGGGUCCACCCACCAUUGUGAUAAAUGACGAGAGAAGCUUAAGAAAUACCAGCAGAUUUUAUUUUAGUUUUAGUUUUGCAAAUAAGUGCAUAUAUUAUAAGCACAGAUCAUUAAUGCAAGCCAUAAAUGUCUUGUCAACUUUGCUUUUAUAUAGGUGUUUUACCGGUCUGUGUUUAACAUAUAUUUGAUGUAUUCUAUAUAUUUGAUGAUGUUUCAGUGAUCAAAAUAAUCAAAUACUUAGUUUUGAGUCAAUAAAUUGCUUUGAAAAAAAAAUAUUUAGAUUACAAAAAAAACAUAUUUGAUUGCUCUUGAAAUAAUGGUGUAUUCAAACAGAGACUCAAGGCUGGUUUUACAAAUAAGGAACAUAAAAAUAUAUUUCUAUUGUUAAAGUAUAAUUGCUUAUACUUGUCAAAUUGUUGCAUAAUGACUGAAUCAAUCGAUGAAAAAAGUUAUGUUUUGAUAUUUUUAUUUUAUUAUUAUGUUGUAUACUUUGAGUAUAAUGACUGUAUAUUGUUUUGUUUCCAACAGAUAGUUCGGAACAAUGAGCUAAAUCAAUUUUUUAAAUGCUUUAUUUUACUUUCUGUGUUAUAUAUAAUGAUAUAGUGUUGGCCUUAAUUUUUAUUUUAUUCCAAAAAAGGAAGUCUUCAAUAAGGCGUUAACAGGAGAGAGAGUAUAUAGAUAUUUUAUUGUAGAAGUUUAAGCCUAAUGACUGUCUAUUGUUUUAUUUCGGAUAGUUUUGAACAAGGCCCGUAUAAUCUAUAUGCUGAAUGGUUUCUAUUACUUUUGGUGUUGUAUAUAAUUGCGCAGUGUUUGCCUUGAUACUUUCUUUUGUUCCAAAAAGGAAGUAUUUAGUAAGGCGUUUACAGUAGUACAUGUGUAUGGCAGUGUUAUAAUGUAAGCCUAAUGACCGUCUAUAUUUUGUUUCGGAUAAAAAGUUUGGAACAAGGUGUUAAUAAACUAUAUUUUGAAUGGUUUAUAUUCAUUUCUGUGUUGUAAAUAAUUUUAUAGUUUUUGCCUUAAUACUUUUUUGUUUUACAUAGGAAGUCUAUAAGGCGCUAACAGUAGCAUAAAAAUAUGGUGUUUUUAUGAAAAGCAUAAAAACACGUACUACAUUUUAGCUGUAAAUGUUAUGAUUUAAUGUGACUUGUUUUAUUAAAAAAAAGCCUUAAGAAAUAUUAAUUAAUUUGCAAAAUAUCAGUUCUUCAUGCAUCUUGCAAGAUAUUGUAUCUGACAAGGUCUGGUUACUUUUCAAUUAAAUCUCGGGUUAUAAUUUAUUACAAAAACAUAAUGCAUCACUUUACAGAGAACAAAAAAGACCAUUUGGAGUUUGUAUUAACAGUAUCGUAGAUUUUUUUUCUGUUUUUUAUUUAUCAAAUUAACAAAUUUGUCUUUGCAGUUGAUAUUUUACUUGAAUGAGAAAAACUGUACAUUAUACUAUCAAAACGAAAGUAUUGUUAACGAAUUUUGACUUUAGACAAAACUUGUUUUAUGUUUAUUGUUAUAUCUUAAUGCAUGUACGAUAUUUACUCAAAUUGCGAUUAUCAAUAUUUAUGUUGUUUUUAUUAACUUAUAAUUCUUUUGAGUACUGUUGGUUCUGAGAAACAUCUGUUUACAUUACAACUAUGUGUUGUAUAAUAGUUUUCAAAAAUCUAAGAUUUAAAAUUAAAUCAAGUGUUACAUUUAUGUUAAAAUAACAAGACCGACAUAAAAUACGGAUAAGAAAGACUAAGCAUGCCACAACAUCUAGUGACAUGUGAUGCAAUCUUCUGCUGAACUUGUCAGACCUUUAUUAUUCGGUUGACAUUUAAACACAUGUUCGCAACAAAGAGAUUUUAAAUGCCCCCUGAUCGAAUGAUCGGGGGUAUAUUGUGUUUGGCCUGUCUGUCUGUCAUUGUAUGCAUGUGUCUGUGUGUCUGUCCCAAAACGUGAACCUUGGUCAAAACUUUUACAAUAUUGAAGAUAGCAACAUGAAAUUUGGCAUUUUGAGUGGUGAAAUGUCUAGUUCAUCCUUCAAGGUCAAAUGUCAAAUAUAUGGCUUCAAAGCGGCACAGUAGGGGGCAUUUUUGUUUCACAAACACAGUUCUUGUUUUCUAUUUGAAUGGAUUUCGUUUAUAAUUUCAAAAAUAAUGUUUGGUACUUAACAAAUAAGUGCAUAUAACUCAAAUAGAUUAUUAUUGAAAAGCCGUACAAAUCUAGUCAGUUUUACGUUUAAAUAGAUGUUUGAUGUUGUGUAAUAUAUAUGUGCUGUUUUGAUAAAUAUAUAAAUGUGAUGUUGUGAAAGUGAAAUGUAUUAUGAUGAAUAUUAAUUAUUAUCUAAGUUAAAUUAAGUUCAAUUAAAAGGUGUAUACAUUAGUCAA
Dreissena polymorpha is the source of this 3492-nucleotide long non-coding RNA. RefSeq lists it as uncharacterized. The transcript is spliced from 3 exons. NCBI's taxonomy places the organism in Eukaryota, Metazoa, Mollusca, Bivalvia, Myida, Dreissenidae. The record is from RefSeq and is a predicted model, not a curated record.